GCUCCAUUGGUCUAGGGGUUAGGACAUUCGGUUUUGAUAACCCAACAUUUCCGGAUAGCGGCAGUUCGAAUCUGUCAUGGAGCU
RNAcentral lists this transfer RNA (84 nucleotides) under Hapsidospora chrysogenum ATCC 11550. RNAcentral describes it as "Acremonium chrysogenum ATCC 11550 tRNA-Gln". It matches the Rfam family "tRNA". From Rfam's summary of the family: Transfer RNA (tRNA) molecules are approximately 80 nucleotides in length. Lineage: Eukaryota; Fungi; Ascomycota; Sordariomycetes; Hypocreales; Bionectriaceae. The record is from RNAcentral.